RNAcentral lists this ribosomal RNA (274 nucleotides) under uncultured Desulfotomaculum sp. RNAcentral's name for it is "partial 16S ribosomal RNA". It matches the Rfam family "Bacterial small subunit ribosomal RNA", at positions 524 to 797 of the family's 1533-position model. Lineage: Bacteria; Bacillati; Bacillota; Clostridia; Eubacteriales; Desulfotomaculaceae. The record is from RNAcentral.
UACGUAGGGGGCAAACGUUGUCCGGAAUGACUGGGCGUAAAGGGCGAGUAGGUGGUUUGCCAAGUCAGGAGUGAAAACUCCGGGCUCAACCUGGAGAUUGCUACUGAAACUGGCAGACUUGAGUGCAGGAGAGGGAAGCGGAAUUCCUAGUGUAGCGGUGAAAUGCGUAGAUAUUAGGAGGAACACCAGUGGCGAAGGCGGCUUCCUGGCCUGUAACUGACACUGAGGCGCGAAAGCGUGGGGAGCGAACAGGAUUAGAUACCCCUGUAGUCCC